Molecule: non-coding RNA, 3569 nt
Organism: Macaca mulatta (Rhesus monkey)
Lineage: Eukaryota; Metazoa; Chordata; Mammalia; Primates; Cercopithecidae
Source: RefSeq, a predicted model, not a curated record
AACUGGUGUGUGGUGGUAGAAGUCAGGAGGUAUCUUUGGAAGAGAGGGAAGAGCUAGUCAAACCAGAACACGAUUAACGCUUCAGAAGUGUUAAUCAGAUUAACGCUAACAGAAGUGCUUGCUGCGUGCAGGAUGGGAAAUACCAGAUUGGAUGAACGUGCGAGGAAAGCCUGGCGCAGGUGCUUAUCUGAGCUGGGAGGGACGCGCCUGCAAACUUCGGUGGCUGGAGCUGGGAAAGGAGUCUGAGCUGCCUGUCGCUGGGUGACCCUGGGCACGUCCACGGCCACUUUGGAGUUUCCCUCUCUGUGAGGUGGGGCUGACGGAGGGACUGAGGCUUCAGAAAAUCCAGCGCAUUUUCCCAGUUCACAGUCAGGAAGGGCAGGCUUCCAACGCACAUGGAAAUCUGCUGGGGUCCAGGCGUCUGCCCCGGCUCGGGCGUUCUGCGCGGGGGCUGCGUCUCAGGCCAGCCCAUCUCCAGCGGCCACUUCUGUCACGGACGGCCUGCGAGGAAGCCGAGUUUCCAUCUGAGCGUGGUCAUGGAUAUCAGCCCCGGGAGUCGCCAAGAUACAUGAGGGAAGAAAUGAAUUUAAAGGAGCAGGAAGUCAAAACAGCACAAAUGAGGAGGAUAUGACUGAGUUAUCACUGUAUCAAUCAUUUCUUCGUAAUUUUUAAAGUAAAAAGCCUAAACACCACUGUGGUCCAAAUCUAGGAGUACGGCUGAGUGGACUGUGCCCUCUUCUUCCAUGCCCAGGUCACUUCUCCUCGUUCCACCAAAGAUCUGGAGUUUGGACCAGACCAUAGAUUUUACUUAAUACUUUGGAGAAGUUGAAGGAUUUCCAUAUACUUGAAGGUAAGUCUCAAUACAAACAGUGGUUGUGAUGUCACUGCCAAUUUAUAAUAAUGACCUUAAGUUUUGAACAGUGGCUUUUCUUCGAAGGAUGUAUCUUACACAAUGUUAUCUAAAAUUGGAUGUAAUAUUCUACUAAGGGAUUGGAUUGUAAGCAUUUUCAGUGAGUUGUGAGAAAAUAAAUUAAGGAACAUGUUAAGGUUACAGAGACAGGCAAAUCUAGCUUUAAAAACAAGUUGUGUGGGCACUGAAAGGAGCUGGGCACAUUCCUCAGCCCCCGGGCUCGAAACUCCCUGAGCCAAGCACAAACACAUCCCAUCCUCCCAUCCCACCACCAUAUAUCUCUCAAACUCCCUGAGCCCAGUAUAAACACCACCUGGAAAGUCUCCGAUAAGGGGACAGCCGUUCAAGGUUACUGAAAGCGCAGGAGCCAAAAGAAUUUCUUUGUUCCCCUGCAACUUUCGGGCUAUAAAAAGCAAACGCUCGCAUUGUUCGGGGCCCUCUUGUAUACUGUGUAAAGGAGGGACCAGGUUCGAACUUGUAGUAAAGAUCCUUGCCGCUUGGCUUUGACUCUGGACUCUGGUGGUCUUCUUUGGGGAACAAACAGUCUGGGCAUAACAGGCACAAGGCCGGUCUUCUGCCCAAACUCUACCAUCUACCAGGGAAGAACUCAAAAUGAAUUCUCGUCCCAUAUAAGGAAAAGGGAAUGUGGCCAGGUGCAGUAGCUCACGCCUGUAAUCCCAGCACUUUGGGAGGUCAAGGCGGACAGAUCACGAGGUCAGGAGAUCGAGACCAUCCUGGCUAACACAGUGAAACCCCAUCUCUACUAAAAAUACAAAAAAUCAGCCAGGUGUGGUGGUGGGUACCUGCAGUCCCGGCUACUCAGGGGGCUGAGGCAGGAGAAUGGCGUGAACCCAGGAGGUGGAGCUUGCAGUGAGCCGAGAUCGCACCACUGCACUCCAGCCUGGGGGACAGAGCAAGGCUCCAUCACAAAAAAAAGAAAAAGAAAAAAAAAAAAAGGAAAAGGGAAUGCAAACUCACUGCUAGUAGACCUGUCUUGUGACAUCCUACUAUUUAAUAUUAUCUGGCUUUUCCUAUCUAAGCUGUGUGGUAAGGAUUUAAAUAGAAACUAAGUACCAUAACUGUAAAAUAUUUUGAUCAACUCAGAAGCAGGUACUAUUAAAAUCCUAAUGUUACCAUGUGUCAUUAAAAAAAUGCUUAUCCAGGCCUGAGGAUGUCAAAUGUGCAUCCAGGUGUAAGCAGCUCCAUCCCCGCUUGCACUCCAGGGUUGGCAUACUCCCACCGAGCAAAUAAAGCCCACCCUGUACACAGCAGCACAAGGAGACAGCCUUGCACUUGACUGCAACAAUGACCCACGGACUGCAUCAGGGAGGGGAGGUCAGAGGGACAGCUGGAGGUCCUGGGCCUCCAAGGAGAGGCACGGCUGGAGCCCAGCAGAGCGAGUGGACAGUUCCUCUCACGGAAGUAUAUACGUAUGAGAAUUCCACAGAAAGGUGUAUGUUCUCUUCACAAAUCAAAAGAUUAAGAACUUGUGGUGUUUGCUGUAUUUCAGAUAAUAUUCUAAGGGCCUUCAUUAACUUACUGCAAUGUAUAUUCAUUAACAGUAUUAUGAGAUAGAUAUUACUGUCUACAUUUUAUAGAUGAAAAAACGGAAGUCAGGGAAGCUGGUAGACUGCCUAAGGUAACCAAGCUGGUGAGCAUGAGGGCACAGAUUUGAACCUGGGCUGCCUGGCUCCGGGCCGUGCCCUCCCCGUGCACUGUGCAGCCCCACCUGAUGAACAAGAGGUAGAGGCUGGAAGGGAGCUAAGAACAUACACCUAAGGCUGAAAAAGAACUUUGCAUUGCUAGGCAAGUAUAUAAAAUUAACAGUAAGACACGGUGGAUGGCUGGCUGGCUGGGACAGACUCCAUCCCUGUGCCAGGCGGCCUUCUCCACUCCUUGGCUUCAGACAAACUCCGAUCUGAAAUGCUACCAUGUUAUUUUGAGUUCCUGGUCAAAAGAGGAGAAGAAUAUUUAAAGGGAAGAGAAGAAAAAACUCAUGAUCAAACAGUGGAUUGUUAACAUUUUCUUCAUACGCAAAAACUUGAACUUCGCUACUACUCAGAAUGGAUCCAUGAAAAUGCAGGGACUGUCAAACAGAUUAUGUUUUAUCCAGGACAUGUGAUUACAUUUUGAAAUUUGUAUCAUCUGUAUAUAUCAGUGUAAAUCAUUAAAGGGUAAGGAUUUUUUUAUGGAGUGUUUCAGAGUUUUCAGAUCUACAGGAUAAAUUAGGAGAAGAGAAUUAUAAAUUGCCUUUUCUAUGCCAGACAUGUAAGAUAUUUUAACUUCAUUUAUGCCUAUACUGUGACAUGUGAAGAAAGUGUAAAUCCCGCUUUGUUUUUCUUCUUAAGACACUGAGGUAAGUUGCUUGCCUAAGGACAGCUGGCAGCCUGUCAUGGAGCUGGAACUUACAUGCAGGACUCUAUGCCUGCCUCUGAAAUCUCUUUCCACAAACACCAUGGCUUGGGAAGACAGUGGUGGCCAAGGAGAAGGUGGAGCGUUUUUUGUUUUGAGACAAGGUCUCACUCUGUCACCCAGGCUGGAGUACAGUGGCACAAUCACUGCUGGCUCAUCUCCAGUACAGUGGCACAUCUCCCUGGCUCAAGCGAUCCUCCCGCCUCAGCCUCCCAAGAAGCUGGGACCACAGGUGUGCACCACCACA